This 397-nucleotide RNase P RNA is filed under the name Saxibacter everestensis. RNAcentral's name for it is "Brevibacteriaceae bacterium ZFBP1038 RNase P RNA component class A". It matches the Rfam family "Bacterial RNase P class A". From Rfam's summary of the family: Ribonuclease P (RNase P) is a ubiquitous endoribonuclease, found in archaea, bacteria and eukarya as well as chloroplasts and mitochondria. Its best characterised activity is the generation of mature 5'-ends of tRNAs by cleaving the 5'-leader elements of precursor-tRNAs. Lineage: Bacteria; Bacillati; Actinomycetota; Actinomycetes; Micrococcales; Brevibacteriaceae. The record is from RNAcentral.
UGGGUCGUCCAGGCGGUCGCGUCAUCGUUAGGCGAGAGCCGUACGGUGCCGAGGAACGUCCGGGCUCCGCAGAGCAGGGUGGUGGGUAACGCCCACCCGGGGUAACCCGCGGGAACAGUGCCACAGAAAACAGACCGCCGCCGGAUACGCCAUCGGCCGUUCGGCGGUAAGGGUGAAACGGUGGUGUAAGAGACCACCAGCGAAUCAGGUGACUGAUUCGGCUAGGUAAACCCCGCCCGGAGCAAGGUCAGACAGACAGCGUUUGAGGGCUGCUCGCCCGAGUUGUUGGGUGGACUGCUGGAAAGUGCCGGUAACGGCGCUUCGAGAUAGAUGACCGCCACCCAUGUCGGGCAACCGCACAUGGGCACAGAACCCGGCGUACCGGGCGACCCAUCCG